Molecule: ribosomal RNA, 497 nt
Filed under: uncultured bacterium
Lineage: Bacteria
Description: partial 16S ribosomal RNA
Rfam family: Bacterial small subunit ribosomal RNA
Source: RNAcentral
GAUGAACGCUGGCGGCGUGCUUAACACAUGCAAGUCGAACGGACAGACGAGGAGCUUGCUCCUCGGACGUUUGCCGCGGACGGGUGAGUAACACGUGGAUAACCUCCCUGCAUGCAUGAGAUAACUUCGGAAAACGGGAUCCAACACCGGACAAUAUACUGAACCGCAUGGUUCAAUAGUGAAAGACGGUUUUGCUGUCACGAAUAGAUGGUUCCGCGCUGUCUUGGCUAGUUGGUAAGGAAACGGCCUACCAAGGCGACGAUGCGUAGCCGACCUGUGAGAAGGAGCGGCCACACUGGAACUGAGACACGGACCAGACUCCUACGGGAGGGAGCAGUGGGGAAUUGUGGGCAGUGGGCGCAAGCCUGGCAGAGCAAGGCCGCGUGAGAGAUAAAGGUGUUCGGAUCGGAAAACUCUGUUUUUAGGGAAGAACAGGUUUGUGACUAUAUGUGGGCGUCUUGACGGUACCUGAUCAGAAAGCCCCGGCUAACUACGUG